RNAcentral lists this non-coding RNA (78 nucleotides) under unclassified sequences. Its description in RNAcentral is "skipping-rope RNA". It matches the Rfam family "skipping-rope RNA". From Rfam's summary of the family: Firmicutes, Fusobacteria, AlphaProteobacteria, Spirochaetes. The record is from Rfam by way of RNAcentral.
UGGUUUAGAAGUAGAGAAUGUGCUGCUACGCACCCUUUGGGUCAAAAGAAAUGUGGAAUUGGCGCACCACCGUAACCA